GGGAAAACGCAGAGUCCAACAAUGGGAUAAAAAUGUGCCUCAAGAGUGGGUAAAUUGAACUCCCCCAAGCCACUGAAGAUUGCUAAGGGUCUUCAUUUUGGCAAUAUAGAUCCAAAUAUUUGUUAACAGAGGUUGCCAAAGGACUUUGUCUCCAUUAUAUAGAGUUAACAGAGAUGCAUGAACAUGUAUUAGAAAAAUGAUUCACACGCAAUAGAAAAAUUAAGUAAGACCAGGAUUGGGUGGCUUUGGAGAACGUAAUUUCAACUUGAACGUGAAGAUGCUUGUAGAACAGUGUUCCUUCCUCUGAACAUGGCUACAGAAGAACAAAUCACUUAGUCUGAAGAUGAAAACAAGAAGCUGAUGGAAGACACAUUCUGAACUAGCUAACACAACACUCUGAAACUGGAGGAUAUCAACUGAUAAGAUAUGAAGUUCUCCCUUAGUUUCAAAUACACUGGGUUCAUAAAUUAUUAACAUAAACAAUGGAUGUCCCGUCAAGCUACCAUGAAGAUAGCUAGGUCUGCACAACUCCUCAAGUGUCGACCCCUCCAAGCACAUCCUCCACCUGGAACUGUGAACCGAAUGGAUAAAUGUGUUGGUCAGAAAG
Molecule: long non-coding RNA, 607 nt
Filed under: Pongo abelii (Sumatran orangutan)
Lineage: Eukaryota; Metazoa; Chordata; Mammalia; Primates; Hominidae
Description: lincRNA
Source: RNAcentral